Molecule: RNase P RNA, 339 nt
Filed under: Helicobacter sp. 13S00401-1
Lineage: Bacteria; Pseudomonadati; Campylobacterota; Epsilonproteobacteria; Campylobacterales; Helicobacteraceae
Description: Bacterial RNase P class A
Rfam family: Bacterial RNase P class A
About the family: Ribonuclease P (RNase P) is a ubiquitous endoribonuclease, found in archaea, bacteria and eukarya as well as chloroplasts and mitochondria. Its best characterised activity is the generation of mature 5'-ends of tRNAs by cleaving the 5'-leader elements of precursor-tRNAs.
Source: Rfam by way of RNAcentral
UAGGAGUAGCAAGCAAUCGCUAUUUAUAUAGAGGAAAGUCCGAGCUACAAAGACUUAGGAUUCCAUUUAACAAAUGGCUAGUGUAAACUAAGGGAAAGUGCAACAGAAAUAUACCGCUUUUAUAGAAUCUAGAUUCUAUAAAAGUAAGGGUGAAAAGGCAGGGUAAGAGCCUACCGAUUUAUAAGCAAUUAUAAAUGCCAUGUAAACCCAAUCCGUAGCAAGAAUAGCAGGUUAAAUAAGUCUUAAUAUUAAAGCUAUUCGCUAAAGCUUUAUCGUGAGAUAAAGAAAAAGAUAAAUGAUUGCUUAGUACAGAACUCGGCUUAUAGCUACUCCUAGGGC